This 409-nucleotide long non-coding RNA is filed under the name Bos taurus (domestic cattle). RNAcentral describes it as "long non-coding RNA NONBTAT009014". The record is from RNAcentral. Lineage: Eukaryota; Metazoa; Chordata; Mammalia; Artiodactyla; Bovidae.
UUUGGCACCACAGGUAAGUAAGAUCUCCAAGUUUCAAAUGCAAGCCUGAACAUGAAUACGCUCUAACUGGCUUCUAACCUGUCAUAACUGUCGCUGAAUUGAUUUUACAAGCUAGCUAAGAGUUGGGUCCUAUGUCUGGUUUUUUGAUGCCUCAGAGCAUCGCCAGUAUUUUUAGGGCUGUCCCCAAACUGAUUUGAGUGCAUUUAUUUUAAAUAAUCAUAUACAUAACCUUACUUUCACACACUCACCACCUAGUGUUUAGAGAAACAAGAAAGUGGUAACAUUGUGAAAUGAAACAGAAAGCUUCAAAGAGGAUGAUGGUCACCGAGUGUGAUUCUGGACAGAAUGAACGCUGAGAGAAAAGUAAGGAGUGUACUCAGAAUACUUAUGCAGGAGACAGAGCCUUUAC